Chelonoidis abingdonii (Abingdon island giant tortoise) is the source of this 149-nucleotide unclassified non-coding RNA. NCBI's taxonomy places the organism in Eukaryota, Metazoa, Chordata, Testudines, Testudinidae. The record is from Ensembl.
CUGAUGGCCAUGGAGACUGAAGACCCUAGGAGAUGGGCAGUCUUCCUCUAUGCUACACUGUUCAUGUGUCUGAACGCUGGCCUGCAGAGUCCCCCUGUAGAGAAGGAGGGGGAGUUCAAUCUUCAUGGCCCAUUCAGUCCUUGGCAUCU